This is a long non-coding RNA of Agrilus planipennis (emerald ash borer), 927 nucleotides long. RefSeq lists it as uncharacterized. The record is from RefSeq and is a predicted model, not a curated record. The transcript has 7 exons. NCBI's taxonomy places the organism in Eukaryota, Metazoa, Arthropoda, Insecta, Coleoptera, Buprestidae.
AAUAAAUAAAUUCUUUGAUGGAAACAGCGUUUUAUUUGCAAAUAUAUAAGUGCGCAAGUUUCUAUUGCAGUAGCUGAUUUCCCAGGUUUUAAUCCUUACAACUAAUUAUUUUAAAAAUGUCUAUAAAAGUUAUUAGUCCUUCGAAGAUAAACGAGAAAUGGUUGGUUGUUUGUUCAUAUCGUCUGUUCAUUUUUAUGAUCAUUUAAAAAUUGAAAAAAUGAAUAUGAUUGCGUAUAAGAUUUAUUGGUAACGGAUAUAAAUUAUCAAAAGUUGUCCCUUCAUCCAUCGUAAUAGGAGGACUUACUGAUUCUCUGCUAUGGUGUGUUCUUCCUGGAUUUCAUUUUUUGAUCACUUCUUACAUUCUGCUAUUAAUAAUGGAGCAUAAAAACCGGGAUGACGUUUUAUAAAACAUUGGUUUCUCUUUCACUCUGCAAUGUAGCAGUACUUACAUUCUGUAGGAAAGAGUGAUGGUGCUUUUUUUUGCAUUGGGAACGAAGAUUGUCUUAUUGUUAAAGGAAGGAUUUAUGGCAUGACUUGAUUGGCCAACAAUUGAGAGAGAUUGGAACUGAUAUCCUUUGCAUACUGUAAAGAUAAGUGGUCUUCUAUGGUGUUUUACCUGUUAACCUUUCAUCUUGAAGGCUCUUGUAGUUAAUUAAGGAACAUUACUAGAAUUCGGAUACCAUUAAGUUAUGAAAUUUUGGAGCAUUGGUUAUAUUAGUCCUUAUUUGCCCUGGAAAAGUAGCUGUGCCCAUGGUUCUAAAGAAAACACGAAAGUGCCUUUUUUUCAUUGCGAAUGAAGACAGUGUGCUGAAAAAAGAAUUUAUGACAAUGAACUGAUUGUCCCACAAAUGACGAGGGAUUGCAGUUAAUUUUGAUACUACUGAAGCAACCGAUGCUAUUGAUGUCUGCACCUUGCAACAUUAUGCA